RNAcentral lists this ribosomal RNA (258 nucleotides) under uncultured bacterium. RNAcentral's name for it is "partial small subunit ribosomal RNA". It matches the Rfam family "Bacterial small subunit ribosomal RNA", at positions 26 to 285 of the family's 1533-position model. The record is from RNAcentral.
AGGACGAACGCUGGCGGCGUGCUUAACACAUGCAAGUCGAGCGAGGCCCUUCCUUCGGGAAGGUGCCCUAGCGGCGAACGGGUGAGUAACACGUGGGCAACCUGCCUCUAGCACUGGGAUAACUCCGGGAAACCGGGGCUAAUACCGGAUAUGACCUCCGAGGGCAUCCUCGGUGGUGUAAAGGAUUCUGGCUAGAGAUGGGCCCGCGGCCUAUCAGCUUGUUGGUGGGGUAAAGGCCUACCAAGGCGACGACGGGUA